AAAUUCCUCCAGCUUUCAUAAUUAGGAGAGAAAAAUUGUUUCGAUUGCUUUACGAUAAUGUUACUGGUUCAAGUUUUGCACAUUUUCUUGUACUAGAAAUACUAUGAAUUUUAACUGCUACAUUACCUUCUACCUAAGCUCACCGUAAACCUUCAUCCAGUGAUCAUUUUCACAAGUCAUAAUGUAAGAUUAAGAUUCUGAAAUUUGGAAGCAGUUGGCUCUAUCGGCGUUCAGCACCAUGAACAAUUUCGGAUUAACCUGAUUGUUUCCUUCAGCUAUUAGGGUAUUCAAUCCGUCCACCUCUUCCAGCAAUUCUGAGGUAACUACCACAGAAAUAUUCGACAAUGGUAUUCAUUGGCCAACUAAAACCAAUUUGAAACACUGAAAUCCCUUAGCUUACUAAGAUGUCUUUCCAUGUCUUGCCUUGUCUUCUUCCACUCUUCUUUCUCUAUCACAGUGGUAAAAUCAUCUCUUUCCUCUGAUGGUAUAAUUUUGAAUGAGUUCCCGUUAUCACGGAUGACAAGUAAAUCAUUCUUCCUAUCCCUGCUUUUUCCUCCAGGAACUGUCACCACUACUUUGGCUCUUGUAAUUGAUUUGGUUUUAGAAUCAAUAACGUAUAUUUCUUCGAAAUCAAGAGCAAAUUCUGGAUCACCUGCCCUGCGAUUCCUGUAGUGCUUUGUCAAGAAUACCUUCAUAAUUUCCCUCUCAGAUUUAUACAUGGGAUCUCUAGGUGCAUCAAUGGGAGGCUCUGUCACAUUGUAGCACCCAUAAUCACUCAUCGCACACCUGAUAUACUUCUGAGGCAUUGGUGCAAGAACUCUGGGAAUGGCAUAUAUAUCAGUAUCUGGAGGUGUAACAUACAUCUCACGAAAAUCAUAAACAUCGUCAUCAGGAUCAGGAGGUUUACGAAUGAAGAAAUCACAAUCGAAAAGGCAAAUUUUAUGAAACUCCUCCUCCUUAAUCCUAUAAUCCACAAUUUUCUCCGAAUCCCAUCCUUGAGUAAACACAAAGCUACUGCUAUUCACCAUCGCAAUGUCAUCAUCACCCCUAGCAACAGCUAAAGAUAUAGCACUACCACCACCUAAGAGGGUAUCAUAGUCAACAUCAAAGUCCUUCUUGUUGUCUGCUUCUUCCACUUCAUCUUCGUCCAUGUCAUAUUCAUCUGUACCUCCACCGUCAGCAUCUCCGUCAUCCGCGAACACCCUGAAAUCCGGUCUUUUUGAGCUCAAACUUUGUUUAACAAAAAUGAGGUUGUUGGAAAUUGUCUUAGCGAAUGAAACGGUGAAAAGGGUCGGUGUAGAAAGUGAAGAAGGUGCAGUGGAGAAGGUUGAAAGCUUCACCGGAAGCGGCAAGAGGAGACCGGCGCUCAUAGUUGUUCAGUGAGUGAAGAGGAAAAAAAAGUGAAGCGGGGGAGUGGAUUAGAUUUGUACUUUUUGUUACUCA
RNAcentral lists this unclassified non-coding RNA (1443 nucleotides) under Hevea brasiliensis (rubber tree). Lineage: Eukaryota; Viridiplantae; Streptophyta; Magnoliopsida; Malpighiales; Euphorbiaceae. The record is from RNAcentral.